ACAGCGGUAGUUCAGUGGUGGAAAUCUCACCUUUCAUGUAGGACACCUGGGCUCGAUUCCCGGCCAAUGUG
RNAcentral lists this transfer RNA (71 nucleotides) under Loxodonta africana (African savanna elephant). It matches the Rfam family "tRNA". Rfam says of the family: Transfer RNA (tRNA) molecules are approximately 80 nucleotides in length. Their secondary structure includes four short double-helical elements and three loops (D, anti-codon, and T loops). The record is from Rfam by way of RNAcentral. Lineage: Eukaryota; Metazoa; Chordata; Mammalia; Proboscidea; Elephantidae.